AGAGUUUGAUCCUGGCUCAGAUUGAACGCUGGCGGCAUGCCUAAUACAUGCAAGUCGAACGGAAACGAUGGGAGCUUGCUCCCAGGCGUCGAGUGGCGGACGGGUGAGUAAUACUUAGGAAUCUGCCCAUUAGUGGGGGACAACUCGAGGAAACUCGAGCUAAUACCGCAUACGCCCUACGGGGGAAAGCGGGGGAUCUUCGGACCUCGCGCUAAUGGAUGAGCCUAAGUCGGAUUAGCUUGUUGGUGAGGUAAAGGCUCACCAAGGCGACGAUCCGUAGCUGGUCUGAGAGGACGAUCAGCCACACUGGGACUGAGACACGGCCCAGACUCCUACGGGAGGCAGCAGUAGGGAAUAUUGGACAAUGGGGGCAACCCUGAUCCAGCAAUGCCGCGUGUGUGAAGAAGGCCUGCGGGUUGUAAAGCACUUUCAGUAGAGAAGAAAAGCUUACGGUUAAUAACUGUGAGUCUUGACGUUACCUACAGAAGAAGCUCCGGCUAACUCCGUGCCAGCAGCCGCGGUAAUACGGAGGGAGCGAGCGUUAAUCGGAAUUACUGGGCGUAAAGCGCGCGUAGGCGGCUUAGUAAGUCGGAUGUGAAAGCCCUGGGCUUAACCUGGGAAUGGCAUUCGAUACUGCUUAGCUAGAGUAUGGUAGAGGGAAGUGGAAUUUCCGGUGUAGCGGUGAAAUGCGUAGAUAUCGGACGGAACACCAGUGGCGA
This 719-nucleotide ribosomal RNA is filed under the name uncultured bacterium. Its description in RNAcentral is "bacterial SSU rRNA". It matches the Rfam family "Bacterial small subunit ribosomal RNA", at positions 8 to 718 of the family's 1533-position model. The record is from RNAcentral.